GAACAGGGCAGUCCGGCCACUCCGGCAGAACAGGGCAGUCCGGCCACUCCGGCAGAACAGGGCAGUCCGGCCACUCCGGCAGAACAGGGCAGUCCGGCCACUCCGGCAGUUCAGGGCAGUCCGGCCACUCCGGCAGUUCAGGGCAGUCCGGCCACUCCGGCAGUUCAGGGCAGUCCGGCCACUCCGGCAGUUCAGGGCAGUCCGGCCACUCCGGCAGUUCAGCGCAGUCCGGCCACUCCGGCAGUUCAGCGCAGUCCGGCCACUCCGGCAGUUCAGCGCAGUCCGACCACUCCGGCAGUUCAGCGCAGUCCGGCCACUCCGACGACUGUUGACUGGCGGGCAGCUCCGACGACUGUUGACUGGCGGGCAGCUCCGACGACUGUUGACUGGCGGGCAGCUCCGACGACUGUUGACUGGCGGGCAGCUCCGACGACUGUUGACUGGCGGGCAGCUCCGACGACUGUUGACUGGCGGGCAGUUCCGACGACUGUUGACUCCUGAUGCGUGGGGCAGCUCCGACGACUGUUGACUGGCGGGCAGCUCCGACGACUGUUGACUGGCGGGCAGCUCCGACGACUGUUGACUGGCGGGCAGCUCCGACGACUGUUGACUGGCGGGCAGCUCCGACGACUGUUGACUCCUGAUGCGUGGGGCAGGUAUUGGACGUACCAGCCUGGAGACACGCACCUCCAUGCUAGUGUGUCUAGCGGGAAACACCGGACCGAAAGGGCGCACUGGCGGUCUUGAGUGCAGGGUUGGCAUCACCCCUUCCGGCUCGAUGCUCCCCUUGCCCUGGCACCUGCGGGGCGCUGGUACUGGGCGCACUGGGCUGUGCGUCCGUAUAGGCGAGAUGGUGCGCACCUCAGCGUAACAUGACGCCCUCCACCUCGUACGCACCUCCCUGUAGUCACGGGUAGCUGGCUUACGGCUCUUCCCUGGCCUGGCCAAACUACCCGUGUGCCCCCCCCAAAAAAAAAUCUUGGGGCUGCCUCUCGGGUUCCCUUAGCUCCCUUAACUUGUCCGCCCAGAAUUUUCUUUCGUCCUGCCAGGUCCAUUCUUCCAUUUCCUUCUCCUGUGGCUUCCUCCUCUUCUGCUGCUUGGUCCUUUGGUGGUGGGUAGUUCUGUAACGG
This 1130-nucleotide long non-coding RNA is filed under the name Salmo salar (Atlantic salmon). Its description in RNAcentral is "lncRNA (ENSSSAG00000117805.1)". The record is from RNAcentral. Lineage: Eukaryota; Metazoa; Chordata; Actinopteri; Salmoniformes; Salmonidae.